AUGCAAGUCGAGUGCGCGUUCCGUAGCAAUACGGAAUGGCGCACGGCGCACGGGUGCGUAACACGUGGGUAAUCUGCCCUCUGAUGGGGAAUAACUCGCCGAAAGGCGAGCUAACUCCGCAUAAUAUUCCGAAAAUUUCGGUUUUUGGACUGAAAGGCGUAAGUCGUCGGAGGAGGAGCCCGCGCACGAUUAGCUAGUUGGUAGGGUAAUGGCCUACCAAGGCUGUGAUCGUUAGCUGGUCUGAGAGGAUGGCCAGCCACACUGGAACUGAGACACGGUCCAGACUCCUACGGGAGGCAGCAGUGGGGAAUCUUGCACAAUGGGCGAAAGCCUGAUGCAGCGACGCCGCGUGGGGGAUGAAGCUUUUCGGAGUGUAAACCCCUUUCGAUCCGGACGAAUGCCCGCAAGGGAUUGACGGUACGGAUAUAAGAAGCCCCGGCUAACUACGUGCCAGCAGCCGCGGUAAUACGUAGGGGGCCAGCGUUGUUCGGAAUUACUGGGUGUAAAGGGUUCGUAGGCGGUGCGGCAAGUUGGGAGUGAAAUCUCUGGGCUCAACCCAGAGACGGCUUCCAAAACUGCUGUGCUUGAGUGUGAGAGAGGCUCGUGGAAUUGCAGGUGUAGCGGUGAAAUGCGUAGAUAUCUGCAGGAACACCCGUGGCGA
Molecule: ribosomal RNA, 661 nt
Filed under: uncultured soil bacterium
Lineage: Bacteria
Description: bacterial SSU rRNA
Rfam family: Bacterial small subunit ribosomal RNA
Source: RNAcentral